GUGGGGAAUAUUGGACAAUGGGGGGAACCCUGAUCCAGCCAUGCCGCGUGUGUGAAGAAGGCCUUUUGGUUGUAAAGCACUUUAAGCGAGGAGGAGGCUUACCUGGUUAAUACCUGGGAUAAGUGGACGUUACUCGCAGAAUAAGCACCGGCUAACUCUGUGCCAGCAGCCGCGGUAAUACAGAGGGUGCGAGCGUUAAUCGGAUUUACUGGGCGUAAAGCGCGCGUAGGUGGUUAAUUAAGUCAAAUGUGAAAUCCCCGAGCUUAACUUGGGAAGUGCAUUCGAUACUGGUUGGCUAGAGUAUGGGAGAGGAUGGUAGAAUUCCAGGUGUAGCGGUGAAAUGCGUAGAGAUCUGGAGGAAUACCGAUGGCGAAGGCAGCCAUCUGGCCUAAUACUGACACUGAGGUGCGAAAGCAUGGGGAGCAAACAGGAUUAGAUACCCGUGUAGUCC
RNAcentral lists this ribosomal RNA (451 nucleotides) under uncultured bacterium. RNAcentral's name for it is "bacterial SSU rRNA". It matches the Rfam family "Bacterial small subunit ribosomal RNA", at positions 354 to 796 of the family's 1533-position model. The record is from RNAcentral.